ACUGUGGUUUCGCUCUGGUCUCAUUGCUGAGAACCAACCUCCUUCUCUGUGAGAAACAAUUUUCCUCUUGUCGGGGAGUGAUGUGAUCAGAAAUAUUGUAAUUCAGAAGGGAUCUAAUUCACAUAGGCAUGUGUAGUCCAGCCUGCGAGGAUGGCUGGAUUUUAUUUCUUUUUCUCUCACCUAAAACCGUGGCCCAACAAAGACCAACACAUGGAUUUCACAGACUAGGAUGAAUCGACGUUCUGAACCUGAGUGUUUUUCUGAUUUCCAUCGAGUUUGUAGGCAACGCUGAUGCGUCUGACCAUCACCACAAAACAAUUCUGAUCUCUUCCCAAGAAGAUUCCAUGGAGUGGACGGCAUAUGGUGAACAAGGUUACUACAGCAACGUGGGCUCAUCUGGAUCCUCCACUGGCGAUGAAGGUGAAAUCCCAAUGGAGAUAGACUAGCAUGAUUAUGAAAACAACAGUGUCAAGGAAAUGGAUGAAGAUUUGCUGAAAACUCUGCUGCAUUCCACAUGAACCUGCACAUCCCCACCCUAAUGCAGCUGGACGACUUAUAGCUUUAGCUUUCUUAUAGCAAAGGCAAAUGGAAUAAUGGCGCAAACAUUUCAAGACAACACAUACUUUUUACAAGCACAAUUUAGACUGAACUAAAGAAUUUACACUGGAAUAAUGAUGCUAAACCACCAUAAAAGCUGCUGUUUGAAGCAUUAACCCUACGUAGCUAUGCAGUAUUAAGAGAAUGAAUAACGUAUAUCUGAUGUCAGUUCUAUUCACCCAAUUUUGCUCCUUUCAUUAAAGUCAAAAACAUGAAGAAACCCUUUCUUAGCCUUUUACUUUUGUGGAACAGUUGUUGAAGAUCCACAGGUGGUGAAGUGAAUUUACCUGUAUGAUAACCUUUUGACUGAAAGCACAGGUGAUUACAGUUUCUCAAAAACCUUCUAUGGCUUUUAAGUCACGACAGCUAGUUUUACAUGAAUUUUGUCAAAAAGCCCAUCCCCAACCAGAACCGAAUGUAUUUGCGCAGUUUGACUUCCAUAACUGUGACUGUGACCC
Molecule: long non-coding RNA, 1055 nt
Organism: Mugil cephalus (flathead mullet)
Lineage: Eukaryota; Metazoa; Chordata; Actinopteri; Mugiliformes; Mugilidae
Exons: 5
Source: RefSeq, a predicted model, not a curated record